UAAAAUUAUUUUAAAUAAUAUAUUAGAAAUGAAAUGUUAUUCGUUUUUAAAGGUAUCUAGUUUUUUAAGAAAUAAAUUUAAUUUAGAAAUUUUAUAUUAUUUAAUUUAAUAUAUUAAUUGAAUAAUUAUUUAAUUUUAAUAUUUUAUGGGAUAAGCUAUGAAAUAAAUUUUUAAAAAUUAUUAAAUAAAUUAAUAAAUAUAAGCUUAGAAAUAGUUAUUGUUAAUAAAAAUGUUAUAAUUUAUUUUUUUUUAUAUAUUAUUUAUUUAUAUUUUAAAUUUUUAUUAAAAUAUUUAUUUUAAUUUUAAAAAUAAAAUAAUAAUGAUAAAAUUAGUAUAUUAAUAUUGUAUUUAUAAAUUUAAAUGAUAAGUUUUUAUAAAGAAUUCGGCAAAAAUAAUAUUCGCCUGUUUAACAAAAACAUGUCUUUAUGAAUUUUUUUUAAAGUCUAACCUGCCCACUGAAUAAAUUUAAAUGGCCGCAGUAUCUUGACUGUGCAAAGGUAGCAUAAUCAUUAGUCUUUUAAUUGAAGGCUGGAAUGAAUGGUUGGACGAAAUAUUAACUGUUUCAUAAAAAUUUUUAUUAAAAUUUUAUUUUUUAGUCAAAAAGCUAAAAUUUAUUUAAAAGACGAGAAGACCCUAUAAAUCUUUAUAUUUAAAUUAUUAUAAUUUUUUAGAAAUAUUUUGUUGUUAUAAUUAAUAAUAUUUUAUUGGGGUGAUAUUAAAAUUUAAUAAACUUUUAAUUUAUUUUUGUCAUUGAUUUAUGAAUAAAUGAUCCGUUAUUAACGAUUAAAAAAAUAAGUUACUUUAGGGAUAACAGCGUAAUUUUUUUGGAGAGUUCUUAUCGAUAAAAAAGAUUGCGACCUCGAUGUUGGAUUAAGAUAUAAUUUUAGGUGUAGUUGCUUAAAUUUUAAGUCUGU
This 914-nucleotide ribosomal RNA is filed under the name Parasetigena silvestris. RNAcentral describes it as "partial 16S rRNA". Lineage: Eukaryota; Metazoa; Arthropoda; Insecta; Diptera; Tachinidae. The record is from RNAcentral.